This 65-nucleotide ribosomal RNA is filed under the name Trichoderma harzianum. Its description in RNAcentral is "partial 28S ribosomal RNA". The record is from RNAcentral. Lineage: Eukaryota; Fungi; Ascomycota; Sordariomycetes; Hypocreales; Hypocreaceae.
GUUGACCUCGGAUCAGGUAGGAAUACCCGCUGAACUUAAGCAUAUCAUAAGGGGGGAAGAAAAAA